This 256-nucleotide ribosomal RNA is filed under the name uncultured bacterium. RNAcentral describes it as "partial 16S ribosomal RNA". It matches the Rfam family "Bacterial small subunit ribosomal RNA", at positions 524 to 776 of the family's 1533-position model. The record is from RNAcentral.
UACGAAGGGGGCUAGCGUUGUUCGGAAUUACUGGGCGUAAAGCGCGCGCAGGCGGCUAUCCAAGUCAGUGGUGAAAGCCCGGAGCUCAACUCCGGAACUGCCAUUGAAACUGUUUAGCUUGAGGACGAGAGAGGUGAGUGGAAUUCCCAGUGUAGAGGUGAAAUUCGUAGAUAUUGGGGAAGAACAACCGGUGGCGAAGGCGGCUCACUGGCUCGUAUCUGACGCUCAGGCGCGACAGCGUGGGGGAUCAAACAGG